Molecule: non-coding RNA, 94 nt
Organism: Aplosporella prunicola CBS 121167
Lineage: Eukaryota; Fungi; Ascomycota; Dothideomycetes; Botryosphaeriales; Aplosporellaceae
Source: the annotation of a RefSeq genome assembly
GGUUGUGUAGUGUAGUGGUGAGCACGCUGGAUUUUGAUUCUACUAAAUGAGUCUUAACCUUCCAGCGACCCCGGUUCGAUCCCGGGCACGACCU